GCUUGCUAUGCUGAUCUUCAAGCUUGAAUUUCUUUUGUCGAUCCUAACCUUAUUUCUCUGUUCAAACAAAAAGAAAACAAAAAGAAUAUGAGCUACACUAGCCCAGUAAGUAGAACUUGCGCUUCCUUAUCGGAUCAAACAUAAGUUUUUCAUGAUAAUGCAAUAUUUAGAAAAUAGCAGGUAAUACAAAAUAAAGCAUUUCAUAGAGCAUAUAACAAAACAAGUUAUAAA
RNAcentral lists this long non-coding RNA (231 nucleotides) under Elaeis guineensis (African oil palm). RNAcentral describes it as "long non-coding RNA (EGUI_LNC006064)". The record is from RNAcentral. Lineage: Eukaryota; Viridiplantae; Streptophyta; Magnoliopsida; Arecales; Arecaceae.